Molecule: long non-coding RNA, 713 nt
Organism: Anser cygnoides (Swan goose)
Lineage: Eukaryota; Metazoa; Chordata; Aves; Anseriformes; Anatidae
Source: Ensembl
UGGGCGCCCCGGGGAUGGGCGCCCCGGGGAUGGGCGCUCCGGAGCUUUUGCUCUCCCACCUCCUCCUCCCCUCCGAGCCGCCCCCGCGCUCUCCGUGCCCCGCGGCGCCCCCCGGCGGGGCGGCCCCGCUCCCAGCCCCGCGGCUCCCCCCCGGCCGGGGCCGCUCCGCCGCUCUCCCCGCAGCCCCGCGCGGCUCGGCUCGGCUCGGCACGGCCCGGCCUCCCGCCUCCCAUUGGUCCGGGAUAGCGCCGAGGGCGGGGACGGCCGGGCCGCUAUUAAACAUCCCAUGGCAGCCCGCAAAAAGGGGCAGCGGCUCAUUGAGUGGCUCAGUUGCAAAGCGGUGCGGCGGCGGCGGCCGGCGGGCACCUUGGGAUUGGCUUGCUGCGUCCCCCCCCAGCUGCUGGAUCUUACGCCCUUUUAACUCUCUAAGCACCUCCGUUAAGGCCACCGGCAGGUCUCCUUCCAUGGAUAUUUCCACGUCCCUGGAAAGAUUCAGAAGAUGGCUGGUGCUGAUGACUGUCCAGAGGGAGCUUCUCAACAUGCUUUCAGAGAGGACCCUCACCACUGUGACUUCUCCUAAGCCCUUCUGUGAUGUCUCCUCCUGUGGCAGCCUGGGACAAUGCAAGGUGCGACCCCCAGCCCUAGCAGCCAGGCCAGCAGGCUCUUGGUGUCUCGGUCCCUCGCUCACUACAAAGGAAGGACAGCAACAAUGA